This 406-nucleotide ribosomal RNA is filed under the name uncultured bacterium. RNAcentral's name for it is "partial 16S ribosomal RNA". It matches the Rfam family "Bacterial small subunit ribosomal RNA", at positions 30 to 526 of the family's 1533-position model. The record is from RNAcentral.
AUUGAACGCUGGCGGCAGGCCUAACACAUGCAAGUCGAACGAGUGGCGGACGGGUGAGUAAUGUCUGGGAAACUGCCCGAUGGAGGGGGAUAACUACUGGAAACGGUAGCUAAUACCGCAUACCAUCGGAUGUGCCCAGAUGGGAUUAGCUUGUAGGUGAGGUAACGGCUAACGUAGGCGACGAUCCCUAGCUGGUCUGAGAGUAUGACGAGCGAAACUGGAACUGAGACACGGUCGAUACCCCUGCGGUACGCAGCAUUGGGGAAUAGUGCACAGGGGGCGCAGGCCUGAGUCAGUCAUGCCGGGUGUAUGAAGAAGGCCUUCGGUUUGGCAAGUAUGUUCAGCGGGGAGGCGUUACCCGCAGAAGAAGCACCGGCUCACGCCGUGCCAGCAGCGGCGGUAAUAC